AUUGAACGCUGGCGGCAUGCUUUACACAUGCAAGUCGAACGGUAACAGGGUGCUUGCACCGCUGACGAGUGGCGAACGGGUGAGUAAUGCGUCGGAACGUGCCGAGUAGUGGGGGAUAACGCAGCGAAAGUUGUGCUAAUACCGCAUACGUACUGAGGUAGAAAGUGGGGGACCUUCGGGCCUCACGCUAUUCGAGCGGCCGACGUCUGAUUAGCUAGUAGGUGAGGUAAAGGCUCACCUAGGCGACGAUCAGUAGCGGGUCUGAGAGGAUGCUCCGCCAAACUGGGACUGAGAAACGGCCCAGACUCCUACGGGAGGCAGCAGUGGGGAAUAUUGGACAAUGGGGGGAACCCUGAUCCAGCCAUGCCGCGUGUGUGAAGAAGGCCUUAUGGUUGUAAAGCACUUUAAGCGAGGAGGAGGCUACUCUAGUUAAUACCUAGGGAUAGUGGACGUUACUCGCAGAAUAAGCACCGGCUAACUCUGUGCCAGCCGCCGCCGUAA
This 501-nucleotide ribosomal RNA is filed under the name uncultured bacterium. Its description in RNAcentral is "partial 16S ribosomal RNA". It matches the Rfam family "Bacterial small subunit ribosomal RNA", at positions 30 to 523 of the family's 1533-position model. The record is from RNAcentral.